Molecule: long non-coding RNA, 733 nt
Filed under: Pan troglodytes (chimpanzee)
Lineage: Eukaryota; Metazoa; Chordata; Mammalia; Primates; Hominidae
Description: lincRNA
Source: RNAcentral
AGGACAUAGGCUGCUAAUGAACAGCCCCAUCUGAUUUAAUCACUGCAAUGACCGUGAACUGUACGGUUACCUCCGUGUGUCACAGGAAGACUCUUUUGACUUAAGCACCCUUCCAUGGUCAUGAGGUUUCUGGUUGCCUCUGUGUUAGAAGCUUGGAGACCAAUGCCUUCUGCUGUGAUCGCGUUCUCCACAGUUGCCUCUGGGUAGGAGCCUGGACACUAAUAGAAAAUGGAUGCACUUGAGCCGACCUAAGCAUUCAUGGUCAUGAGAUUUGUGGUUGCCACUGUUGGUUAGGAGCAUAGAGAUCAGUAAUGGACACACCUGGGCUGGCAGAACAUCUUGCCUUGAUCUGGAGCCCCAUGUCUGCCCCUCUGUAGAGGUGCACAUGGGCCAAUGAUGGAUGCAAUGAGCUGAUCAUUUUGCUGUGAUCAAGGCUAUGUUGCCUCUGUGUUAGGCCAAUGUGAGUAAUGGUUCUUGUCUUGGUUUAGGUUGUUUAAUAGUAUUCCUGAUAUUAUUAAAAAUUAUUUAAUAUAAUAAAAAGUUAACUGGCUUAAUGAUAAUGUGCAACAUUGAGGUUAAUUAAUCAAAGAGAUGUAUUCUCUGUGGGAAAUGAUUGUAUAGACAAAUGUAAGGAUUCUUCAAAUAUCUUGUUCUUGGGUUUUCAAAAUCAUGUAUUCAUUUUAUUAUCAAAGAAGAAAUGAUUUAUUCAAUAAAUAUUUAGAAAUGAAUGAUG